RNAcentral lists this transfer RNA (74 nucleotides) under Synechococcus phage S-CREM1. It matches the Rfam family "tRNA". From Rfam's summary of the family: Transfer RNA (tRNA) molecules are approximately 80 nucleotides in length. Their secondary structure includes four short double-helical elements and three loops (D, anti-codon, and T loops). Lineage: Duplodnaviria; Heunggongvirae; Uroviricota; Caudoviricetes; Pantevenvirales; Kyanoviridae. The record is from Rfam by way of RNAcentral.
GGCAGUAUAGCUCAGUCUGGCAGAGCACGGGUCUCAUAUGCCUAUGGUCGAUAGUUCAAAUCUAUCUACUGCCU